AGCAGCCGCGGUAAUUCCAGCUCCAAUAGCGUAUAUUAAAGUUGUUGCAGUUAAAAAGCUCGUAGUUGAAUUUCGGGGUUAGUAGGUUGGUCAUGCCUCUGGUAUGUACUGGUCUCACUGAUUCCUCCUUCCUGAUGAACCGUAAUGCCAUUAAUUUGGUGUUGCGGGGAAACUGGACUGUUACUUUGAAAAAUUAGAGUGUUUAAAGCAGGCUAACGCUUGAAUACAUUAGCAUGGAAUAAUGAAAUAGGACGUUCGAUCUUAUUUUGUUGGUUUCUAGG
Molecule: ribosomal RNA, 281 nt
Filed under: uncultured Glomus
Lineage: Eukaryota; Fungi; Glomeromycota; Glomeromycetes; Glomerales; Glomeraceae
Description: partial 18S ribosomal RNA
Rfam family: Eukaryotic small subunit ribosomal RNA
Source: RNAcentral